RNAcentral lists this ribosomal RNA (234 nucleotides) under uncultured Candidatus Saccharibacteria bacterium. RNAcentral's name for it is "partial 16S ribosomal RNA". It matches the Rfam family "Bacterial small subunit ribosomal RNA", at positions 584 to 818 of the family's 1533-position model. The record is from RNAcentral. Lineage: Bacteria; Candidatus Saccharimonadota.
UAAGCAGAAUGUGAAAUCGUAUGGCUCAACCAUAUAUCCAUGUUCUGAACUGCUCAGCUAGAGAAUGGAAGAGGUCGCUAGAAUUCCUGGUGUAGGGGUGAAAUCCGUAGAUAUCAGGAGGAAUACCGAUGGCGUAGGCAGGCGACUGGUCCAUUUCUGACGCUCAGGCACGAAAGCGUGGGAGCGAUCGGGAUUAGAUACCCCGGUAGUCCACGCCGUAAACGAUGGAUGCUA